RNAcentral lists this ribosomal RNA (398 nucleotides) under uncultured Choreotrichida. RNAcentral describes it as "partial small subunit ribosomal RNA". It matches the Rfam family "Eukaryotic small subunit ribosomal RNA", at positions 30 to 432 of the family's 1831-position model. Lineage: Eukaryota; Ciliophora; Spirotrichea. The record is from RNAcentral.
GCUUGUCUCAAAGAUUAAGCCAUGCAUGUCUAAGUAUAAGCCUUUACACGGUGAGACUGCGAAUGGCUCAUUAAAUCAGAAACUGUUUAUUUGAUAGUGCCUACUACUUGGAUAACCGUAGUAAUUCUAGAGCUAAUACAUGCAAAAAGCCUGGACUUCUGGAACAGGCGUAUUUAUUAGAUAACGAACCAAUAUUCCUCUGGUCUAUUGUGGUGAAUCAUAAUAACUGAUCGAAUCGCAAAGCCUUUGGCUGCGAUAUGUCAUUCAAGUUUCUGCCCCAUCAGCUUUCGAUGGUAGUGUAUUGGACUACCAUGGCUUUUACGGGUAACGGAGAAUUAGGGUUCGAUUCCGGAGAGGGAGCCUGAGAAACGGCUACCACAUCUAAGGAAGGCAGCAGG